This 534-nucleotide ribosomal RNA is filed under the name uncultured Fusarium. RNAcentral's name for it is "eukaryotic LSU rRNA". The stretch from base 147 to 300 matches the Rfam family "5.8S ribosomal RNA". Lineage: Eukaryota; Fungi; Ascomycota; Sordariomycetes; Hypocreales; Nectriaceae. The record is from RNAcentral.
GGGGAGUUACACUCAUCACCCUGUGACAUACCUAAAACGUUGCUUCGGCGGGAACAGACGGCCCUGUAACAACGGGCCGCCCCCGCCAGAGGACCCCUAACUCUGUUUUUAUAAUGUUUUUCUGAGUAAACAAGCAAAUAAAUUAAAACUUUCAACAACGGAUCUCUUGGCUCUGGCAUCGAUGAAGAACGCAGCGAAAUGCGAUAAGUAAUGUGAAUUGCAGAAUUCAGUGAAUCAUCGAAUCUUUGAACGCACAUUGCGCCCGCCAGUAUUCUGGCGGGCAUGCCUGUUCGAGCGUCAUUACAACCCUCAGGCCCCCGGGCCUGGCGUUGGGGAUCGGCGGAAGCCCCCUGUGGGCACACGCCGUCCCUCAAAUACAGUGGCGGUCCCGCCGCAGCUUCCAUUGCGUAGUAGCUAACACCUCGCAACUGGAGAGCGGCGCGGCCAUGCCGUAAAACACCCAACUUCUGAAUGUUGACCUCGAAUCAGGUAGGAAUACCCGCUGAACUUAAGCAUAUCAAUAGCCCGGAGGAA